RNAcentral lists this long non-coding RNA (477 nucleotides) under Bos grunniens (domestic yak). Its description in RNAcentral is "lncRNA (ENSBGRG00000013662.1)". The record is from RNAcentral. Lineage: Eukaryota; Metazoa; Chordata; Mammalia; Artiodactyla; Bovidae.
AUUAACUGUAGAUUAAAUUCAUCCACGAAACAAACCAUGCAGGGAUUAAAGAAGAAUUCUUUAAGUGCCUGGCUCAUGCAUCCAAAAAAUAAAGUUAUGGAUGCCUCUUUAGGCUCCUCUGACAACGCUGACAAGAGAGAUAACUCAGUUGAACUGACAUCAGGAGCCUAUGAUGAUACCAUCUAUGAAAGUAAAAUAGAACAGUUCUUCUUGAUGGUGGGAAUGAAGAUGUUAACUUCCGUGAAAGUGUUAGUCACUUGUGUCCAACCCUUUGUGACCCUGUGGACUUGCCAGUCUCCCCUGUCCAUGGAACUCUCCAGGCAAGAAUACUGGUGUGGGUCGCCAUUCCCUUCUCCAAGGGAUCUUCUCAACUCAACCAUCAAACCUUGGUCUCCCACAUUGUGGGCAGAGUCUUUCCCAUCUGAGCCAUCAGGGAAGCCCAUAACUUUGGUAAUCCAUAGGAAUAAGUCAGUGUGA